GGAAACUUGAAAACUACCGUUGGAUCGAGAAAUGGACGUCCGAGAUUCGUCUACGUCACCAUGAGUUAAAAUUUAACUCGCAAAUUCACUCAUGAGUUAAAAUUUUACUGGGAGUUAAAUUUUAACUCACGGUGACAUGGACAAAUCCCGGAUAUCCAUUUCUCGAUCCAACGGUAGUUUCCAAGUUUCC
RNAcentral lists this microRNA precursor (190 nucleotides) under Oryza sativa Indica Group (long-grained rice). The record is from RNAcentral. Lineage: Eukaryota; Viridiplantae; Streptophyta; Magnoliopsida; Poales; Poaceae.